GUCUACAGCCAUGCCACCCUGAACAUGCCCGAUCUUGUCUGAUUUCAGAAGCUAUGCAGAGUCAGGCCUGGUUAGUCCUUGGAUGGGAGACCACCUAGGAAUACCAAGUGCUGUAGGCG
This 119-nucleotide ribosomal RNA is filed under the name Pteropus alecto (black flying fox). Lineage: Eukaryota; Metazoa; Chordata; Mammalia; Chiroptera; Pteropodidae. The record is from RNAcentral.